This 2356-nucleotide ribosomal RNA is filed under the name Streptococcus pneumoniae. RNAcentral's name for it is "bacterial LSU rRNA". It matches the Rfam family "Bacterial large subunit ribosomal RNA", at positions 557 to 2925 of the family's 2925-position model. Lineage: Bacteria; Bacillati; Bacillota; Bacilli; Lactobacillales; Streptococcaceae. The record is from RNAcentral.
CGGUUGCCUACAACACGUUCGAGCCCGUUAAUGGGUGAGAGCGUGCCGUUGGUAGAAUGAACCGGCGAGUUACGUUAUGAUGCGAGGUUAAGUUGAAGAGACGGAGCCGUAGGGAAACCGAGUCUGAGUAGGGCGCCGUAGUAUCAUGACGUAGACCCGAAACCAUGUGACCUACCCAUGAGCAGGUUGAAGGUGCGGUAAGACGCACUGGAGGACCGAACCAGGGCACGUUGAAAAGUGCUUGGAUGACUUGUGGGUAGCGGAGAAAUUCCAAACGAACUUGGAGAUAGCUGGUUCUCUCCGAAAUAGCUUUAGGGCUAGCGUCGACAUUAGAGAUUCUUGGAGGUAGAGCACUGUUUGGGUGAGGGGUCCAUCCCGGAUUACCAAUCUCAGAUAAACUCCGAAUGCCAAUGAAUUAUGGUCGGCAGUCAGACUGCGAGUGCUAAGAUCCGUAGUCGAAAGGGAAACAGCCCAGACCACCAGCUAAGGUCCCAAAAUAAUUGUUAAGUGGAAAAGGAUGUGGGGUUGCACAGACAACUAGGAUGUUAGCUUAGAAGCAGCUAUUCAUUCAAAGAGUGCGUAAUAGCUCACUAGUCGAGUGACCCUGCGCCGAAAAUGUACCGGGGCUAAAACAAUUUACCGAAGCUGUGGAUACCUUUAUAGGUAUGGUAGGAGAGCGUUCUAUGUGUGAAGAAGGUAUACCGUGAGGAGUGCUGGAACGCAUAGAAGUGAGAAUGCCGGUAUGAGUAGCGAAAGACAGGUGAGAAUCCUGUCCACCGUAAGACUAAGGUUUCCAGGGGAAGGCUCGUCCGCCCUGGGUUAGUCGGGACCUAAGGAGAGACCGAAAGGUGUAUCCGAUGGACAACAGGUUGAUAUUCCUGUACUAGAGUAUGUAGUGAUGGAGGGACGCAGUAGGCUAACUAAAGCAGACGAUUGGAAGAGUCUGUCUAAGCAGUGAGGUGUGAAUUGAGUCAAAUGCUUAGUUCUAUAACAUUGAGCUGUGAUGGGGAGCGAAGUUUAGUAGCGAAGUUAGUGACGUCACACUGCCAAGAAAAGCUUCUAGCGUUUAAACAUACUCUACCCGUACCGCAAACCGACACAGGUAGUCGAGGCGAGUAGCCUCAGGUGAGCGAGAGAACUCUCGUUAAGGAACUCGGCAAAAUGACCCCGUAACUUCGGGAGAAGGGGUGCUGACUUUAAGUCAGCCGCAGUGAAUAGGCCCAAGCAACUGUUUAUCAAAAACACAGCUCUCUGCUAAAUCGUAAGAUGAUGUAUAGGGGGUGACGCCUGCCCGGUGCUGGAAGGUUAAGAGGAGUGCUUAGCGUAAGCGAAGGUAUGAAUUGAAGCCCCAGUAAACGGCGGCCGUAACUAUAACGGUCCUAAGGUAGCGAAAUUCCUUGUCGGGUAAGUUCCGACCCGCACGAAAGGCGUAAUGAUUUGGGCACUGUCUCAACGAGAGACUCGGUGAAAUUUUAGUACCUGUGAAGAUGCAGGUUACCCGCGACAGGACGGAAAGACCCCAUGGAGCUUUACUGCAGUUUGAUAUUGAGUGUCUGUACCACAUGUACAGGAUAGGUAGGAGUCUAAGAGAUCGGGACGCCAGUUUCGAAGGAGACGCUGUUGGGAUACUACCCUUGUGUUAUGGCCACUCUAACCCAGAUAGGUGAUCCCUAUCGGAGACAGUGUCUGACGGGCAGUUUGACUGGGGCGGUCGCCUCCUAAAAGGUAACGGAGGCGCCCAAAGGUUCCCUCAGAAUGGUUGGAAAUCAUUCGCAGAGUGUAAAGGUAUAAGGGAGCUUGACUGCGAGAGCUACAACUCGAGCAGGGACGAAAGUCGGGCUUAGUGAUCCGGUGGUUCCGUAUGGAAGGGCCAUCGCUCAACGGAUAAAAGCUACCCUGGGGAUAACAGGCUUAUCUCCCCCAAGAGUUCACAUCGACGGGGAGGUUUGGCACCUCGAUGUCGGCUCGUCGCAUCCUGGGGCUGUAGUCGGUCCCAAGGGUUGGGCUGUUCGCCCAUUAAAGCGGCACGCGAGCUGGGUUCAGAACGUCGUGAGACAGUUCGGUCCCUAUCCGUCGCGGGCGUAGGAAAUUUGAGAGGAUCUGCUCCUAGUACGAGAGGACCAGAGUGGACUUACCGCUGGUGUACCAGUUGUCUUGCCAAAGGCAUCGCUGGGUAGCUAUGUAGGGAAGGGAUAAACGCUGAAAGCAUCUAAGUGUGAAACCCACCUCAAGAUGAGAUUUCCCAUGAUUAUAUAUCAGUAAGAGCCCUGAGAGAUGAUCAGGUAGAUAGGUUAGAAGUGGAAGUGUGGCGACACAUGUAGCGGACUAAUACUAAUAGCUCGAGGACUUAUCCAAA